RNAcentral lists this long non-coding RNA (229 nucleotides) under Ananas comosus (pineapple). RNAcentral's name for it is "long non-coding RNA (ACOM_LNC025971)". The record is from RNAcentral. Lineage: Eukaryota; Viridiplantae; Streptophyta; Magnoliopsida; Poales; Bromeliaceae.
GUUAAAGUGCCGAGAGAAAUGGUUGGAUAAGUUCUAAUUGGCUUUCCAACUGUGUUGGAAGGGUUAAAAGUGAGUUUAAAAGAGUUAGAAAGAUUUUUGCGUUGUUCGGUGCGAAGUAGAAUCGAAACAAUGCGAAAAAAUGCAAUCUGGGCAAAGUGUAAUACAACAUUGAUGUUGUACCGGUACAACAUUGCAGGCCGAGAGGAAAUAGCUCUCAGGUUUGAGAAAC